AAUAGGGCGUUCAGUUGCUGGGCGUAGACCCGAAACCAGGUGAUCUAUCCAUGGCCAGGAUGAAGGUGCGGUAACACGUACUGGAGGUCCGAACCCACUAACGUUGAAAAGUUAGGGGAUGAGCUGUGGAUAGGGGUGAAAGGCUAAACAAACCUGGAAAUAGCUGGUUCUCUCCGAAAACUAUUUAGGUAGUGCCUCGUGUCUCACCUUCGGGGGUAGAGCACUGUCAUGGUUGGGGGGUCUAUUGCAGAUUACCCCGCCAUAGCAAACUCCGAAUACCGAAGAGUGCAAUCACGGGAGACAGACAUCGGGUGCUAACGUCCGGUGUCAAGAGGGAAACAACCCAGACCGCCAGCUAAGGUCCCCAAAUAUAGCUAAGUGGGAAACGAAGUGGGAAGGCUAAAACAGUCAGGAGGUUGGCUUAGAAGCAGCCACCCUUUAAAGAAAGCGUAAUAGCUCACUGAUCGAGUCGUCCUGCGCGGAAGAUGUAACGGGGCUAAGCUAUAUACCGAAGCUGCGGAUGCGAGCUUGCUCGCAUGGUAGGAGAGCGUUCCGUAAGCCUGCGAAGGUGCCUUGUAAAGGGUGCUGGAGGUAUCGGAAGUGCGAAUGCUGACAUGAGUAGCGAUAAAGGGGGUGAAAGGCCCCCUCGCCGUAAGCCCAAGGUUUCCUACGCAACGUUCAUCGGCGUAGGGUGAGUCGGCCCCUAAGGCGAGGCAGAAAUGCGUAGCUGAUGGGAAGCAGGUCAAUAUUCCUGCACCAUUGUUAGAUGCGAUGGGGGGACGGAUCGCGGAAGGUUGUCCGGGUGUUGGAAGUCCCGGUCGCUGCAUUGGAGAAGGCGCUUAGGCAAAUCCGGGCGCG
This 858-nucleotide ribosomal RNA is filed under the name Burkholderia cenocepacia. RNAcentral describes it as "partial 23S ribosomal RNA". It matches the Rfam family "Bacterial large subunit ribosomal RNA", at positions 686 to 1550 of the family's 2925-position model. The record is from RNAcentral. Lineage: Bacteria; Pseudomonadati; Pseudomonadota; Betaproteobacteria; Burkholderiales; Burkholderiaceae.